UAAACGUACAUACUAUAUUCUCUAUUGAUAUAUGAAGUGAUAAUU
RNAcentral lists this non-coding RNA (45 nucleotides) under Trypanosoma brucei brucei. The record is from RNAcentral. Lineage: Eukaryota; Euglenozoa; Kinetoplastea; Trypanosomatida; Trypanosomatidae.